This 253-nucleotide ribosomal RNA is filed under the name uncultured bacterium. Its description in RNAcentral is "partial 16S ribosomal RNA". It matches the Rfam family "Bacterial small subunit ribosomal RNA", at positions 524 to 776 of the family's 1533-position model. The record is from RNAcentral.
UACGGAGGGUGCAAGCGUUAUCCGGAUUCACUGGGUUUAAAGGGUGCGUAGGCGGGCAGGUAAGUCCGUGGUGAAAUCUCUGAGCUUAACUCAGAAACUGCCAUGGAUACUAUUUGUCUUGAAUAUUGUGGAGAUAAGCGGAAUAUGUCAUGUAGCGGUGAAAUGCUUAGAUAUGACAUAGAACACCAAUUGCGAAGGCAGCUUACUACACAGUUAUUGACGCUGAGGCACGAAAGCGUGGGGAUCAAACAGG